This 253-nucleotide ribosomal RNA is filed under the name uncultured bacterium. RNAcentral describes it as "partial 16S ribosomal RNA". It matches the Rfam family "Bacterial small subunit ribosomal RNA", at positions 524 to 776 of the family's 1533-position model. The record is from RNAcentral.
UACGGAGGGUGCAAACGUUGCUCGGAAUUAUUGGGCGUAAAGCGCACGUAGGCGGACCAUCAAGUCGGAUGUGAAAUCCCUCGGCUUAACCGAGGACGUGCAUUCGAAACUGAUGGCCUUGAGUACGAAAGAGGAUCGCGGAAUUCCUGGUGUAGCGGUGGAAUGCGCAGAUAUCAGGAGGAACACCAAUAGCGAAGGCAGCUCGCUGGGACGUUACUGACACUGAGGCGCGAAAGCGUGGGGAGCGAACAGG